AGUGAACGCUGGCGGUAGGCCUAACACAUGCAAGUCGAACGGCAGCACGGUAAGAGCUUGCUCUUACGGGUGGCGAGUGGCGGACGGGUGAGGAAUACAUCGGAAUCUACUUUUUCGUGGGGGAUAACGUAGGGAAACUUACGCUAAUACCGCAUACGACCUGCGGGUGAAAGCAGGGGAUCUUCGGACCUUGCGCGAUUGAAUGAGCCGAUGUCGGAUUAGCUAGUUGGCGGGGUAAAGGCCCACCAAGGCGACGAUCCGUAGCUGGUCUGAGAGGAUGAUCAGCCACACUGGAACUGAGACACGGACCAGACUCCUACGGGAGGCAGCAGUGGGGAAUAUUGGACAAUGGGCGCAAGACUGAACCAGCCAUACCGGGUGGGUGAAGAAGGCCUUCGGGUUGUAAAGCCCUUUUGUUGGGAAAGAAAAGCAGCAGGUUAAUACCCCGCUGUUCUGACGGUACCCAAAGAAUAAGCACCGGCUAACUUCGUG
RNAcentral lists this ribosomal RNA (492 nucleotides) under uncultured bacterium. RNAcentral describes it as "partial 16S ribosomal RNA". It matches the Rfam family "Bacterial small subunit ribosomal RNA", at positions 29 to 507 of the family's 1533-position model. The record is from RNAcentral.